UUUCCAUAGGAACAUACUAAACGUAGUUAGUAUCCUUCAAUGAAGCCUUGUAUCUCAAGUCAAUAACAGCAAGAGCAACUGUUCUGCUUUGCCUUGUUGGAAAUUGGCAACACUGUCCCUGUGCUUGGAGGUUGUUUAGACAACCAGCAGCUCUGUUAAUUCAUUUUUAACAAAGUCCACAGAUCAAACGACGGUGGUCCAAAGUCUUGUGUUCUCAAAUAUUUGAAAGAAUUGGAAGAACCAGGAAAACUUGUGGAUUAAAAUAUGACCGGCCUACCCUUGAAAAGGGGUUAGACUCUGCGUUCCGUAGGUGAACCUGCGGAAGGAUCAUUACUGAGAACUUGCCCUUUGGGUAGAUCUCCCACCCUAUGUUUACAUACUUUGUUGCUUUGGCAGGCCUGCAUCUGUGCUACUGGCCUUGGCUAGUUAGUGCCUGCCAGAGAACCAACACUCUGAAUCAUUUAUCGUCUGAGAACUAUUUAAUAGUUAAAACUUUCAACAACGGAUCUCUUGGUUCUG
Molecule: unclassified non-coding RNA, 519 nt
Filed under: plant metagenome
Description: partial contains small subunit ribosomal RNA, internal transcribed spacer 1, and 5.8S ribosomal RNA
Source: RNAcentral